CGGGUGAGUAACACGUGGAUAACCUACCUAUAAGACUGGGAUAACUUCGGGAAACCGGAGCUAAUACCGGAUAAUAUAUUGAACCGCAUGGUUCAAUAGUGAAAGACGGUUUUGCUGUCACUUAUAGAUGGAUCCGUGCCGCAUUAGCUAGUUGGUAAGGUAACGGCUUACCAAGGCAGCGAUGCGUAGCCGACCUGAGAGGGUGAUCGGCCACACUGGAACUGAGACACGGUCCAGACUCCUACGGGAGGCAGCAGCU
This 259-nucleotide ribosomal RNA is filed under the name uncultured Staphylococcus sp. RNAcentral's name for it is "partial 16S ribosomal RNA". It matches the Rfam family "Bacterial small subunit ribosomal RNA", at positions 103 to 355 of the family's 1533-position model. Lineage: Bacteria; Bacillati; Bacillota; Bacilli; Caryophanales; Staphylococcaceae. The record is from RNAcentral.